UACGGAGGGGGCUAGCGUUGUUCGGAAUUACUGGGCGUAAAGCGCACGUAGGCGGCGAUUUAAGUCAGAGGUGAAAGCCCGGGGCUCAACCCCGGAACUGCCUUUGAGACUGGAUUGCUAGAAUCUUGGAGAGGCGAGUGGAAUUCCGAGUGUAGAGGUGAAAUUCGUAGAUAUUCGGAAGAACACCAGUGGCGGAGGCGGCUCGCUGGACAAGUAUUGACGCUGAGGUGCGAAAGCGUGGGGAGCAAACAGG
RNAcentral lists this ribosomal RNA (253 nucleotides) under uncultured bacterium. RNAcentral's name for it is "partial 16S ribosomal RNA". It matches the Rfam family "Bacterial small subunit ribosomal RNA", at positions 524 to 776 of the family's 1533-position model. The record is from RNAcentral.